AAAAUAAUUAAGCUAGCAUCCAAACCAAACCAAACUACAUGCGUUUUCCACCCAGACCAAUCCAAACCAUAUGCCAUUUAUGGAUUUAACCCAUAGUUUCAAUCCAUGGACAAGGAAUAAGAAUGGCAACCCAGUUUUACUAGGAAAAGGAUAGCUUGCUGACUAACUAAGUAGCCGUUGGAUGUUACAGCAUGGGGUCUAAAAUUAUUACACAGAAUGCUGGAUGUUACACAAUAACUCAGUUACAGAAUGCAUUUUACAUAGUUGCUGGACAUCCAUCUCCCUUUCUGAAUGGUUUCUUCUACCCCGGCUUUCUUCUUGAUACCUGAGUAUUAUCAGGUACAUCAGAAUGAUAUAUAGCAAUCGCCGCACUUUAACACGAACCAUAUCUCACUAGUAGAACACAGAUUUCUUCAAUUCAAAAAAAAUUGCAGGCUUAGAAGAAUAUCAAUUCUAUGGUUGCUACGCUCUGUUUUUAUCUUCACAUGGAAAGCAAGAAUUCCCUAUGGAUGCUUCUAAAGAAACAAAGAAAAAUUGGACGUCCAUCACAUCCCUGUCCCAUAAACAGUACAGAAGGUAGUGCUCUAAAUCGUUAAUGUGGUAAGAAAUAACUCCGAAACAAUGGUGCUACAAGAUAUUAGGGACAUUGAUUCCUUUUUGCGUCACUACAGCUUACAAAAACAGAAAUAGCCCUCAGCUUGCUGAAAGAAUAAUUCUCUUGUAUGCUUAGUUUCUGAAGAAUAACAGAGGACGCGCAACUUAGGAGCAGGUCUGCAACCACAUGACUAAGAUUCUGGAAAGUGUACAGCAAGGAUGAUAAUUUUUGUUUGUGCCAUAAGAAUGUGCAGGUUAACGCACGUUGGUUAUCCAAUGCACUAUAUUUCAGCAACAAAAGAACACAUUUGAUAGAGUUACAACGGCAUCCAGGAGGUCAGAGUGGCAUAACCAGCAGAAUCAGAGACUUGAAGCAAUGCACUAACUUGCCCAUUCCUCUACUUGGACCAAACCACAACAUAAAACCACGUCUAAUCGAUUCAAGUAAUCCGAUGUUCCACAGAUCACACAGAGUUCAACAGAUUACAAUACCAUUUCUGAACAGAAAACCACAGGGAAUAUUUAUUUACGCACAAAUAUUGCAAUGGUCUUCUUGAACUGCUAAUGUAAAAUAAUAGAGGAGGUCAGCAGUGUCAUAACCACUUUAUUAAAAACAGAGGAGGUGAGCAAUGACAAAAGCAGAGAUGCACAGCAGCACAUGAUUCAUGUCCAAGAUGAAAAAUUUCACACAAGAUUCAGUCCCCAAAUCUCACACAAUAGGUAACAGGCAUCGAUCAAAUGUUUCAGAAUCCAACCAACUUUUGCAGCCGUAUCUUGAGUCACCGGCGGCGUCGUCUUGAGUUACCUGCAGAGACGAGUAAGGUUCAGAGAGAGAGAGAGAGAGAGAGAGAGAGAGAGAGAGGAUGCACUGACCUGCCGAGCUCCAGCCAGCGGCAACUGCAGCGUCAGCCGGCGAGCCCUAACCGCAGCGGUGAGCGGCGGCCAAGCUCCAGCCAAGGGAGGGGAAGGCGGCGACCAUGCUCCAGCCGGCGGCAACGACAGCGGCAGCAGAAGAUCCCUCGAUUUGGUCGGCGGCGGCAGCGGAAGAUCCUACGAGUGGCGGGCGGCGGCCAUCGCUCGCAGAGUACAGAG
This 1686-nucleotide long non-coding RNA is filed under the name Triticum aestivum (bread wheat). RNAcentral's name for it is "long non-coding RNA (TAES_LNC006525)". Lineage: Eukaryota; Viridiplantae; Streptophyta; Magnoliopsida; Poales; Poaceae. The record is from RNAcentral.